This 600-nucleotide ribosomal RNA is filed under the name uncultured Agrobacterium sp. RNAcentral's name for it is "bacterial SSU rRNA". It matches the Rfam family "Bacterial small subunit ribosomal RNA", at positions 1 to 634 of the family's 1533-position model. Lineage: Bacteria; Pseudomonadati; Pseudomonadota; Alphaproteobacteria; Hyphomicrobiales; Rhizobiaceae. The record is from RNAcentral.
ACGCGCGGAUCUUCCAGAGAUUAGAGUUUGAUCCUGGCUCAGAACGAACGCUGGCGGCAGGCUUAACACAUGCAAGUCGAACGUCCCGCAAGGGGAGUGGCAGACGGGUGAGUAACGCGUGGGAACAUACCCUUUCCUGCGGAAUAGCUCCGGGAAACUGGAAUUAAUACCGCAUACGCCCUACGGGGGAAAGAUUUAUCGGGGAAGGAUUGGCCCGCGUUGGAUUAGCUAGUUGGUGGGGUAAAGGCCUACCAAGGCGACGAUCCAUAGCUGGUCUGAGAGGAUGAUCAGCCACAUUGGGACUGAGACACGGCCCAAACUCCUACGGGAGGCAGCAGUGGGGAAUAUUGGACAAUGGGCGCAAGCCUGAUCCAGCCAUGCCGCGUGAGUGAUGAAGGCCUUAGGGUUGUAAAGCUCUUUCACCGAUGAAGAUAAUGACGGUAGUCGGAGAAGAAGCCCCGGCUAACUUCGUGCCAGCAGCCGCGGUAAUACGAAGGGGGCUAGCGUUGUUCGGAAUUACUGGGCGUAAAGCGCACGUAGGCGGAUAUUUAAGUCAGGGGUGAAAUCCCGCAGCUCAACUGCGGAACUGCCUUUGAUACU